Molecule: non-coding RNA, 397 nt
Organism: Pelobates cultripes (western spadefoot toad)
Lineage: Eukaryota; Metazoa; Chordata; Amphibia; Anura; Pelobatidae
Source: the annotation of a GenBank genome assembly
CUCUCUCACCCAUCCCCUCGGUGUGAGUGGGUCUCUCUCUCUCCCAUCCCCUCGGUGUGAGUGGGUCUCUCUCUCUCCCAUCCCCUCGGUGUGAGUGGGUCUCUCUCUCUCCCAUCCCCUUGGUGUGAGUGGGUCUCUCUCUCCCAUCCCCUCGGUGUGAGUGUGUGUCGUGCUCUCUCUCCCAUCCCCUCGGUGUGUGUGUGUCGCGCUCUCUCUCCAAUCCCCUCAUUGUGAGUGUGUCGUGCUCUCCCUCCCAUCCCCUCAUUGUGAGUGUGUGUCAUGCUCUCCCUCCCCUCAUUGUGAGUGUGUGUCGUGCUCUCCCUCCCCUCAUUGUGAGUGUGUGUCGUGCUCUCCCUCCUAUCCCCUCAUUGUGAAUGUGUGUCGUGCUCUCCUUCCU